This 74-nucleotide transfer RNA is filed under the name Neocallimastix californiae. It matches the Rfam family "tRNA". From Rfam's summary of the family: Transfer RNA (tRNA) molecules are approximately 80 nucleotides in length. Their secondary structure includes four short double-helical elements and three loops (D, anti-codon, and T loops). Further hydrogen bonds mediate the characteristic L-shaped molecular structure. tRNAs have two regions of fundamental functional importance: the anti-codon, which is responsible for specific mRNA codon recognition, and the 3' end, to which the tRNAs corresponding amino acid is attached (by aminoacyl-tRNA synthetases). tRNAs cope with the degeneracy of the genetic code in two manners: having more than one tRNA (with a specific anti-codon) for a particular amino acid; and 'wobble' base-pairing, i.e. permitting non-standard base-pairing at the 3rd anti-codon position. The record is from Rfam by way of RNAcentral. Lineage: Eukaryota; Fungi; Neocallimastigomycota; Neocallimastigomycetes; Neocallimastigales; Neocallimastigaceae.
GCUCGCGUAGCCUAAUCGGAUAGGGCGUCAGACUUCUAACCUGAAGAUUGCGGGUUCAAGUCCCGCCGUGAGUG